Molecule: ribosomal RNA, 253 nt
Filed under: uncultured bacterium
Lineage: Bacteria
Description: partial 16S ribosomal RNA
Rfam family: Bacterial small subunit ribosomal RNA
Source: RNAcentral
UACGUAGGUGGCAAGCGUUGUCCGGAUUUACUGGGCGUAAAGAGCGCGCAGGCGGCCGUACAAGUCGCGUGUGAAAGCCCCCGGCUCAACUGGGGAGGGUCACGCGAUACUGUUCGACUCGAAGGCAGGAGAGGGAAGCGGAAUUCCCGGUGUAGUGGUGAAAUGCGUAGAUAUCGGGAGGAACACCAGUGGCGAAGGCGGCUUCCUGGCCUGUUCUUGACGCUGAGGCGCGAAAGCUAGGGUAGCAAACGGG